RNAcentral lists this ribosomal RNA (393 nucleotides) under uncultured bacterium. RNAcentral's name for it is "partial 16S ribosomal RNA". It matches the Rfam family "Bacterial small subunit ribosomal RNA", at positions 523 to 918 of the family's 1533-position model. The record is from RNAcentral.
AUACGGAGGAUCCAAGCGUUAUCCGGAUUUAUUGGGUUUAAAGGGUGCGCAGGCGGAAGAUUAAGUCGGCGGUGAAAUUUUGCAGCUCAACUGUAAAAGUGCCAUCGAUACUGGUUUUCUUGAGUGUGGAUGAAGUAGGCGGAAUUUGUGGUGUAGCGGUGAAAUGCAUAGAUAUCACGAGGAACUCCGAUUGCGCAGGCAGCUUACUAGGCCAUAACUGACGCUCAGGCACGAAGGCGUGGGGAUCAAACAGGAUUAGAUACCCUGGUAGUCCACGCAGUAAACGAUGAUUACUCGCUGUUUGCGAUACACAGUAAGCGGCUUAGCGAAAGCGUUAAGUAAUCCACCUGGGGAGUACGUUCGCAAGAAUGAAACUCAAAUGAAUUGACGGGG